RNAcentral lists this ribosomal RNA (252 nucleotides) under uncultured bacterium. RNAcentral describes it as "partial 16S ribosomal RNA". It matches the Rfam family "Bacterial small subunit ribosomal RNA", at positions 525 to 776 of the family's 1533-position model. The record is from RNAcentral.
ACGGAGGGUGCAGGCGUUAUCCGGAUUUAUUGGGUUUAAAGGGUGCGUAGGCGGAAGAUUAAGUCAGUGGUGAAAUCUCGUGGCUCAACCAUGAAAUUGCCAUUGAUACUGAUUUUCUUGAGUAUAGUUGAGGUAGGCGGAAUGUGUCAUGUAGCGGUGAAAUGCUUAGAUAUGACCCAGAACACCGAUUGCGUAGGCAGCUUGCUAAACUAUUACUGACGCUGAUGCACGAAAGCGUGGGUAGCGAACAGG